This 96-nucleotide non-coding RNA is filed under the name Candidatus Cryptobacteroides intestinigallinarum. Lineage: Bacteria; Pseudomonadati; Bacteroidota; Bacteroidia; Bacteroidales. The record is from RNAcentral.
CGGGGGUACUCCAGCUAUCUUUCAGACGGCUACGGAGUUGAGAGAGUCCCAUUGAACCUGAUCCGGCCAAUACCGGCGUAGGGAAGCAGAUAUCUC